Molecule: long non-coding RNA, 629 nt
Organism: Perca fluviatilis (European perch)
Lineage: Eukaryota; Metazoa; Chordata; Actinopteri; Perciformes; Percidae
Exons: 3
Source: RefSeq, a predicted model, not a curated record
UGAUUGAACUCUGUUAAUUUUCUCAUUUUAUUUUGUUUGCUUGUUAACGUUUUGCUUUUUAAAAAAAAAAAAAAAACCGCCUGUGUUCGUCUUGAGCAAGGUGACCCAAAAAGCCUUGAGUCUUUUUUCGCUCUUUAUAAGACUUUUUUCCCCUUUUUUCCUUUUUCUUCUUUUUUGCCACUUACUCGUGUGAGCAGGGACACCCCGAAAGGGGAAGUGGUGGCCUCCUCUUUAACCGUGCGGUUUGCAGCAACCCCGGGGACCGAUCUGACAAGCAGACCUUUGAUCCUCCAGCUGAUCGGAAGCUUCUGUGACCAAGGCAGAAGUGGCUGUCCGAGUAAAUAGGAAUGAAGGAGGACCUGCAGAACCUCCACCUGCAGUAUCCAGGCAUGAAGUUCAUCUUCUCUGGCAUCACCCAGAGACGCAGAGACAGUUGUUUUUCAGACUUCAGUGUGACCCGCCUCCUCCCCUUUCACCUCGCGGCCUUUAGACGGUGUCUCGAUCUUCUCCCGGCUGUCGGCUCUUGUUCGUCUUCGGCUUUUCCUUGCCACCACCAGUGUUUGGUUUUCAUUGGGGGAUGUGUUUGGUUUUCCUAAACCAAAGAAUUGUAUAGAUACCCCUUUACAAUG